Non-coding RNA from Bos taurus (domestic cattle), 72 nucleotides. The record is from Rfam. NCBI's taxonomy places the organism in Eukaryota, Metazoa, Chordata, Mammalia, Artiodactyla, Bovidae.
UCCCUAGUGGCUCAGACGGUAAAGCAUCUGUUUGCAAUGCAGGAGACCUGAGUUUGAUCCCUGGAUUGGGAA